This 468-nucleotide ribosomal RNA is filed under the name uncultured bacterium. Its description in RNAcentral is "partial 16S ribosomal RNA". It matches the Rfam family "Bacterial small subunit ribosomal RNA", at positions 28 to 507 of the family's 1533-position model. The record is from RNAcentral.
GACGAACGCUGGCGGCGUGCUUAACACAUGCAAGUCGAACGGAAAGGCCCUGCUUUUGUGGGGUGCUCGAGUGGCGAGCGGGUGAGUAACACGUGAGUAACCUGCCCUUGACUUUGGGAUAACUUCAGGAAACUGGGGCUAAUACCGGAUAGGAGCUCCUGCUGCAUGGUGGGGUUUGGAAAGUUUCGGCGGUUGGGGAUGGACUCGCGGCUUAUCAGCUUGUUGGUGGGGUAGUGGCUUACCAAGGCUUUGACGGGUAGCCGGCCUGAGAGGGUGACCGGCCACAUUGGGACUGAGAUACGGCCCAGACUCCUACGGGAGGCAGCAGUGGGGAAUAUUGCACAAUGGGCGGAAGCCUGAUGCAGCAACGCCGCGUGCGGGAUGACGGCCUUCGGGUUGUAAACCGCUUUCGCCUGUGACGAAGCGUGAGUGACGGUAAUGGGUAAAGAAGCACCGGCUAACUACGUG